GUGGGGAAUAUUGGGCAAUGGGGGAAACCCUGACCCAGCAACGCCGCGUGAAGGAAGAAGGCUUUCGGGUUGUAAACUUCUUUUACCAGGGAAAAACACAAUGAUGGUACCUGGAGAAAAAGCUACGGCUAACUACGUGCCAGCAGCCGCGGUAAUACGUAGGUGGCAAGCGUUGUCCGGAAUUACUGGGUGUAAAGGGCGUGUAGGCGGAACUACAAGUCAGGGGUGAAAACUAUGGGCUUAACCCAUAGCCUGCCUUUGAAACUGUAGUCCUUGAGUGCUGGAGAGGCAAUCGGAAUUCCUAGUGUAGCGGUGAAAUGCGUAGAUAUUAGGAGGAACACCAGUGGCGAAGGCGGAUUGCUGGACAGUAACUGACGCUGAGGCGCGAAAGCGUGGGGAGCAAACAGGAUUAGAUACCCCUGUAGUCC
This 428-nucleotide ribosomal RNA is filed under the name uncultured bacterium. Its description in RNAcentral is "partial 16S ribosomal RNA". It matches the Rfam family "Bacterial small subunit ribosomal RNA", at positions 354 to 796 of the family's 1533-position model. The record is from RNAcentral.